CUCCUCUCAUCUGAAAUGAAGAGGGGAAGAAAAUUAACCCUGUAGUCAGGUGGCUCAAAGGCAGUAAUUCCCAUCAACGUGAGCAAGCUCUCCGUUGUGCGUGGCUGGGGCAGAGCGCCGGACCCACUCUCCCUUUUGCUCCAUUUUCGUUUCCCUGCCCUCUUCAUUAGCUGCUGACAGUUUUAGCUUCCUACGUCCAUUUAAAGAGAUUCCCCCCGCACAUCAUCUGGGAUUCAUGAACUGCAGAGAUCUGGCUAUUUUCAACUUUAAGCCACAGUUAAUCCAUGACCUUAGUGCUUUUGUCUCCAGGUCUGAAUUAUGAUUCCUGCCAAGUGGAUACAAAGACAACUGAAGUAGGAAUGUACCCCGUACUCUGCAGUGCCCACUGCAAUGGCAGGACUCAGAUACCUCUUUUCUUGGAGCAGCUCAGCAGAAGAACACAAAGAUGUCACUUCUGGCAUGGAUCACCCAGCGGCGCAUCCCUGGAAGAUGGACUGGUGCUCAGGUGCUGAGGUUUCAGGUCAGACAGAACCCAUGGGGAUGCUUCUUAAUGCACCAGCCUGGCUCCAUCCAGCUUGCCAGCACCAAAAGGAGGCAUCCGACCCCCACAAGGCACAGGCAACUCCACUGCUUGUCCUGCUCCUGCUGACUUCUUCGCUGACCGGCAGCAGCCUGGUGUUGCUCAAUGCUCCCUGUACGUGUCUGUGCCCACCUGAGUGCAGGAUACGGCCUCCCCCUGCCCGUCACAACCGGGGCCAUCACCCAUGCUCAAUCACACCACAUCCCUCCGCAUGUGAAGCCUGCAAGUUUUGGGGCAUGUGUAGAAAUGGUGAGAAGGUGGUGGAACACCAUCAGGGGUUCGGUCACACGUGGUGUGCUCCCAGCAGACCAGCACAACAGCUCAGGGAGCAGAUACUGCAACGUGUUAAGUCAUUUAUUUGAUGAUGAGGCAGAGAAAGCCAAGAGGACUAGCCUAGAGGAAAGCCUCAUUGCUAUGUGGUGAUGUUUCAAAAUUCCCCUUUUUGUUCUUCCAGCAGCCCAAGUACCUCGUUGGCUUUUCAGACGUGAUCAGAACACUGCUCAGCAUGGGAAGGGUGGGGAUGCCACACUUUCAUGAUGAGCCAGGAGAGGCCACGCUAGCCAGGGUUUGCACGGUAGCCCCAGCAGGCUUUGCAGAUGGAAGCUGUUUUAGGAUAAUUUGGUGUCUUUCUAUUCUGCAGAUUUCUUAACGUGUGUGUGUGAGCAGUUGGCUGCUGGGACAGGAAGAUGUGACUGUGCAGGCCCUUUGCAGCACUGAAAGCAAACCUGGUGCAGGUUUGUUCACGAGCUGGUGAGUGUUGAAGAUCCACCCAUGCUUGGUUAUCCUGAAGAGCUGCUCCUGGCUGCAGGUGACACCUACCAGGAGAGGCACUUCCCCAUUCCUCCAUACCCGUGGCAGACACCUCUGCUCCCUAGAGGCUGUGACCAUCAUGCAGCCACAGCUGUCCCCUCAUCAAUCCUAAAGGUGGAUGCAGUGAGACCCAGCACCAUCAGAGCUGACCGCACACGAGGCAACUCAUGUCUGGAAGCAGUCAGGCUCUGCUGAGCACCAGAAGGCACAUGGGGUGCUGAAAACUGCCCAGCGUAAAAAUAACCCUGCCCCAAGUUGCUUCAAGUGCUUCGUAUCUGUGAAACGCAGGAGACACCGAAUGCUAUAAAAAGUGCCACACGUGGGCUUCUCCGUGUCCGCUUCUUCG
This is a non-coding RNA of Anas platyrhynchos (mallard), 1736 nucleotides long. Lineage: Eukaryota; Metazoa; Chordata; Aves; Anseriformes; Anatidae. The record is from RefSeq and is a predicted model, not a curated record.